ACGAACGCUGGCGGCGUGCUUAACACAUGCAAGUCGAACGGGUCUGCCCUGUUUUUUGCGGGGUGGGUCAGUGGCGAACGGGUGAGUAACACGUGAGUAACCUGCCCCUCACUUCUGGAUAACCGCUUGAAAGGGUGGCUAAUACGGGGUGUUCUGGCUGUGCCGCAUGGUGUGGCUGGGAAAGAUUCACUUUUGUGGUGUUUUGGUGGGGGAUGGGCUCGCGGCCUAUCAGCUUGUUGGUGGGGUGAUGGCCUGCCAAGGCUUUGACGGGUAGCCGGCCUGAGAGGGUGGGCGGUCACACUGGGACUGAGAUACGGCCCAGACUCCUGCGGGAGGCAGCAGUGGGGGGUAUUGCACAAUGGGCGGAAGCCUGAUGCAGCUACGUCGCGUGAGGGAUGGAGGCCUUCGGGUUGUGAACCUCUUUCGCCGGUGAAGAAGGUCCUGCUCUUUGUGGUGGGGUUGACGGUAGCCGGGUUAUGAAGCGCCGGCUAACUACGU
Molecule: ribosomal RNA, 498 nt
Filed under: uncultured bacterium
Lineage: Bacteria
Description: partial 16S ribosomal RNA
Rfam family: Bacterial small subunit ribosomal RNA
Source: RNAcentral